This 292-nucleotide ribosomal RNA is filed under the name uncultured bacterium. Its description in RNAcentral is "partial 16S ribosomal RNA". It matches the Rfam family "Bacterial small subunit ribosomal RNA", at positions 338 to 648 of the family's 1533-position model. The record is from RNAcentral.
CCUACGGGAGGCAGCAGUGGGGGAUAUUGCACAAUGGAGGAAACUCUGAUGCAGCGACGCCGCGUGAGGGAAGACGGUCUUCGGAUUGUAAACCUCUGUCUUUGGGGAAGAAAAUGACGGUACCCAAAGAGGAAGCUCCGGCUAACUACGUGCCAGCAGCCGCGGUAAUACGUAGGGAGCGAGCGUUGUGCGGAAUGACUGGGGGGAAAGGGAGCGGAGGCGGGCGGGAAAGUUGAAUGUUAAAUCUACCGGCUUAACUGGCAGCUGAGUUCAAAACUUCUAGUCUUGAGCG